Molecule: long non-coding RNA, 1845 nt
Organism: Caretta caretta (loggerhead turtle)
Lineage: Eukaryota; Metazoa; Chordata; Testudines; Cheloniidae
Source: RefSeq, a predicted model, not a curated record
GGCACAUUUCCACUGGGAAAUCCCGCAGGUUAGCAGUGGGGGACGCGGGGCAUCAGAAGCACUGGGUGUCUUGCUAAAGGAUCUGCUGUAGCUCACCUGUAAGACAUGAGCCGCCUGCAGGAAAUCACUGGGCAAAGUUCCCUGGCCUGUGCUAUGCCAGGUGGUCAGACUAGAUGAUCAGGCAGGUCCCUUCUGACCUUGAAAUAUAACCCUCUCAGCACACCCCGCAUGGUGCACCUGGGUUCCCCACCCAAUAGCCCUGUGGCUCCUCUGCCUGGCGGGGGAUGGUAUUUCACUGCAAGGCUUCAUCUCUGAGUAGCCCAGCUCCUCAAACCAGGGCCCUGGCUCCCAAAACUCGGCCCCACCUCAGCUGGGCCACAGGUUUGUGUGUUCCUGUGCUGCCACCUAGAGCCUGCCCGGUGCAAUGUGGUGGGCGGUGCCAGCCUGCCCCAGAGCCCAGCCUGCAAACCCCACGGCGGGUGGAGAAGGGGAAUCCUGGAGCCAUGAAGAGAGUACUUAGAACAGGAAACCCAGUCCAGCUGGGUCGCGGCAGGGAUCGCUGAUGGGGACAAGCAGGCCAGAUUGCCAGCCUAAGACAAAGCUACAGGGGAGAUUUUCCUGCGUGCUGUUCAUUUCUGGGUGCACCAAACAAGCCGGUUGCUUGUGUCCAGCGAUUCCAUGAUCCUGCCCCUACCACGUGGGGUGAGACAAAUGACCCAGCGACUUCCGCCCUCAGGAAUCGGGGCCUGCUCUCCCGGGAGUCUGACCAGCGCAGUGGCCUCUAGCUGGCUGCCUGUUGGCUACACUGCCCGACUGGUGGGAAGAGUCUCAGAAGCAUUUACUGCACUAGGUCCGGUGCCCGCUGACUCCCAGCCCUGCUCCUGGCUGGCCCCAGCUUUGCCUCACUCCAGGUAACCUGGCUCUGACCCUCGGCUCUGAUUCCUGAAUUUGGCUCUGACCCUAGUUCUGACCCUUAGCUCUGAUUCUGGCUUGCUGCCUUUGGCUCUGGCACCUGCCCUCCGACUCCAGCUCUGACCCUGGGGUCAUGUUCCUGGUUACUGAUUCUUGCUCCAACCACUAGGCAUGACUGCCCACGUACCGUCUCUGACACCCGUACCUUUUCUCCAGUGGUGGGCAGCAGCAGGUUCUGAUGGGCAUGAUGUAAAAACCACCGCCGUGCUCCUAAUUGUCCAAGACUCCUCUAGAGUGGGCGUGUGCACCAUGUUAUUAUUAGCUAACAUUUACACAGCCGUAGCACCUACGAUCACAACCGGCUUGGACCCAUUGUGCUAGGCGCUGUACAAACAUAUCAUGAAGGAUGAUGCCUGCACCAUAGACCUUACAAUAACGCUGCCUUACGCCCCUCUUCCAGCUGCUGUACAGAAGACAUUCCACUCGGGGACUCCACCACACAGCCACAGCAAAGAACUUGAAGGGCAAUUUCACAAAAGCCCUGAAUUACAGACUCCUUUCCUUAGUGAAUCAGAGACAAUCUCAACUGGGGGCAUGAGCAUGGGGAGAACAUAGAGACUCCAUGUUCCAACAGAUCCCAGCGGCCUCUGUCUGCUUCUGGGCGAUGACUGUCGAGAGUUGGACAGGAAACAUUUUUCCCAUCCCAGGGAAAUUUCUGAAAUGUCAAGAAAUUUCCCAUCCCGAACCGAAUAGCUGAAAACACUGUCAGUCUGGGCCAAUCCAGCUGUUUUAUUUCAAUCACUUGGAAAUCGAUAUUGACCUUUUUAUCGUUAAAAAUUAUUUAAACUGGAAAUUAACUUACACUGGAAACCCCCAAAUUGUUUCAUAUUGAAAAAUGGAAAAUGUUAUUUUGAAACUGUCCUGCUUUGACAA